CGUGGAAGGUCCAAUUUUCGAGGUCAACACAUAUUAUCGUUUCAUUAGCACGCUCGAACAUAAUUCUUUAAUUUUGGGUUUUUGCGUUUGUUUAACAUUAGUGAAGAACCUUCAUCGACAAAACAAAUUGAAAUUUGUAGUAUUAUGAAACUAAAGAACUAUUAAUGGUCUUUUUUCAUUUUAAUAGUUUGAAUUUUACUAAUGUUGUCCUUGUUUUUCUGCUUUAGUUCUUUUUCGCCGGGCCUAUCUUUACUAGCGUGAUAUUCAAUUAGGAGCUUCCAAUAAGAAAAUCUAUACAUCAAAUUAUCCUGUGGCAGACUGCUCUUUUUUUAUUUUUUUAUUUUAAGACCCCCGUUUGAACGUCAAUGAAGUUUUUCACAUUACUAUUAAAAAAAUAUUGACAAAUCAGUAGAGAACCCUAACAUAUGGUAUAGUAGAGAUUAUGCGAUAAUAACUUUGAUUAAUAAAUGUAUAAGAUAGUUGCUCAGUUAUUUAUUCACCAAACAUGUAAUUAAUUCUUAUAUUAUUUAAUUUGCUUUCUUAAAACAGAAGUUAUCUAUUUUAUGAUUACAAUUUUAGUUUUCAUUUAUUUUUGAGAAGAGUAAUAUUUUAGCACAGUCAAGCAAUGAAAUUUUUAAUAUUUCUUUGAACUUGUCAAAUUUUUUGACCACCUAGAGCAUCUAGAAUUACUUCGAUAGGGAUUUUGGCAACAAAACUCGUAUCCACUUUAUAAGUUUUGGAUUAGUAUGACGUAUUUUAUUUUGUUCUCGUCACUAUGAUCAAAACUGCUAGACCUUCCAGGAGUAGCUUUUUUUUUUUUUUUUAAUGGUUUUUGCAUAGAAUUAUGCAUUAUUAUAACAAGUCUACAAUUCCAUUAUAUUUGUAUUGCUUUUUAAAUUCGCUUCCUAUUCAAAUUGAGCAUUUUCCAUUACCAACUAUAAUUAAUCAUUCAAUUGUUUCCCAAUGGAGCAUUCUUGAUUUUUUUUUUUUUUUUUUUUUACCUAUGAUGACUAUUUUAAUUUGAAUAUAUAUAUAUAUAUUUUUUUAUCUCCACAUUUUUAAUUUUCCAAUUAAAUGCAUAGAUGUGUAAUUUUUUUAGAAUUGAAAAUUCCAUUAAAUUUUAUUUACAGUUCUCACAUUUUUCUUUAUUUUCAGGUUGUCUACUUAAAUUGUACCAACAUAGAAUUGUUAGUCAACUGCUUUCAGGCCAGCUUCUAAUGCUGUAAAUUUACUGGUAAAUAUGAUUUUUUGCUGUUUGAAAUGUUAAUGUGCAAUAAAUUUUUUUUAUUAUUAUUUUUUUGUGUUCCGAACAAUCUUAUUUAUUUUCAACAUUUUCUUUCAUCUAAUUUUCUCUACCAUAUAGUUUGAGAUAUAUAUGAUAGAUUCACUAAUAUAUUUUUCACUUUUUACACUGAUUUGUUUGGAGUCCAAAGAUUCAGCUAUUUUCCCUGUUGCUGUAAUGGAAAUUUCGGAAUCAUUUGUUGAAGUUGACCCUGCUUCUAUUCAUUUUGAAACUAUUUCUGAAACUCAAAAGAACUUGAGUAAUGCUUCCAUACGAUAACAAGAAACUCAAAAAAAAAAAAA
Molecule: long non-coding RNA, 1584 nt
Filed under: Olea europaea subsp. europaea
Lineage: Eukaryota; Viridiplantae; Streptophyta; Magnoliopsida; Lamiales; Oleaceae
Source: RNAcentral